GUGUCUGUGACUGCUGGUAAGUGCAAUUUGGGCUGGUUCCAUUUAUAUUCUUUGAUCAGGUAUAUUGAAGAUAAAUGGCUUGCUGUGUUUUUCUCUACACCUAGACCUCCCUGCUGUGGUAAAAUAAAUGCUAACAUUAGCAUGUGAAUUUAAGACAAGGAUAUAUUUACCUGCAUUCCUACCAAAAUCUUGAGGGAAUACCUUGGUGGGAGCACGCUGUUUCAGGCGCUGGCAAAAUGAUGGUGAUGUAUGUUCCAGCAAGUAAAAGCUGAGCAAGGUUAUAUUUCAUCUGACGGUAAGAAAGUGUCAGAGAAGAGGUCGGCACACACCCCUCUGGUCUCUCCACCAUGUCACACUGAAGUCACUGGAUGCUCAGUUGUUGGAUGCAGACAAGAAGAUAAAUAUGUAUGUAUGUAUGUAUGUGUAGUUUAAAAAAAAAGAGCUGAAGUAAAGACAUCAUUUGAAAUACAGCCAAGCAAAUGAAUAAGCUUCUGUGUGUUAGAUUCUUAUAUGGCAACACAGUCUCCCUUGAGGAUUGCAUAAAAUGUUCAUUUAAUCUUUCUCAUAUUCUGCUCCAUAAUUAACCCAAAUGACCAAAGACAUCUUUGAAAUGUCACCAUAGAGGUUAUAGAAUUGAUCAACUCCUUUUAGGUGUUUUGUGCUCAUUCUGUGCCUUGGGGAACUAAAAAUCAUCUUUACUGU
This is a long non-coding RNA of Oreochromis niloticus (Nile tilapia), 702 nucleotides long. RefSeq lists it as uncharacterized. The record is from RefSeq and is a predicted model, not a curated record. NCBI's taxonomy places the organism in Eukaryota, Metazoa, Chordata, Actinopteri, Cichliformes, Cichlidae. The transcript has 3 exons.